This is a non-coding RNA of Aegilops tauschii subsp. strangulata, 628 nucleotides long. Lineage: Eukaryota; Viridiplantae; Streptophyta; Magnoliopsida; Poales; Poaceae. The record is from RefSeq and is a predicted model, not a curated record.
CUCCUCCCUAGAUUCUUCCCCCGGCACGAGCCUUCCUCGGAACCCCGACACGCCUCACUGGAUCCCGCCGCCCCUCCACACCUCGGCCACCUCACCUUCACAGGGCCCGCCCCGUCCUCGGAUCGGGCCAUCGCGCCGCCCCCUCCCCUGGUUCCGGCCGGUGCGCCGCCUCGCCUCUGCUCCGGCACGACCUUCCACCCCGUCCGGCAUGGCCUUCCCUCCCCUCCGACGCGGACUGCCCUCUGCUCCGGCGCGCCCUCCUCCUCCACAGCCCCAUCCCCAUCCUCCCUCGAACAUCUUCCUCCCGCCUACUGCCACAUGUCCAGCAACCAAAAUGGCGGCGACCGAGCCAUCUCCUCUAGAUGCUCUGCGUGUAGCCGCCGGCUUCUCGCACGCCAUCGACCCCUGCCAUCCCUGUAUGUGCCUUCUUCCUCCUGUGCACGACGGACUUCCUCCCCCGCAGGUUGUGACCUUCUUACUCCAGUGCGGCUGCUAGCCAGCGCUUGCGUUCUCGCCGACCCAUUGUCCGCUGCCGCUUCAGACCCCUUUGGCACAGUUGCUUGAUAGCCAUGUGCAAUUGCUUCAGUUUUUUUACAUGUGCUACUACAUGUCUACUGGUUACUUCCUC